Molecule: ribosomal RNA, 510 nt
Filed under: uncultured archaeon
Lineage: Archaea
Description: bacterial SSU rRNA
Rfam family: Archaeal small subunit ribosomal RNA
Source: RNAcentral
UUCCGGUUGAUCCUGCCGGAGGUUACUGCUAUCGAGGUUCGACUAAGCCAUGCGAGUCGAAUGUCCGUAAGGACAUGGCGAACUGCUCAGUAACACGUGGACAACCUGCCCUUUGGACAGGGAUACCCCUGGGAAACUGGGACUAAUCUCUGAUAAGUCUCCGUAGCUGGAAUGCUCGGAGACGGAAAGCUCCGGCGCCACAGGAUGGGUCUGCGGCCUAUCAGGGUAGUAGUGGGUGUAGAGUACCUACUAGCCUACGACGGGUACGGGUUGUGAGAGCAAGAGCCCGGAGAUGGAUUCUGAGACACGAAUCCAGGCCCUACGGGGUGCAGCAGGCGCGAAAACUUUACAAUGCGGGACACCGCGAUAAGGGGACCUCGAGUGCUGGCAUACAAUGCUGGCUGUCCAGCUGCCUAAAUAGCAGUUGAUAGCAAGGGCCGGGCAAGACCGGUGCCAGCCGCCGCGGUAACACCGGCGGCUCGAGUGGUAACCGCUAUUAUUGGGUCUAAA